Molecule: long non-coding RNA, 438 nt
Organism: Salvia splendens (bonfire salvia)
Lineage: Eukaryota; Viridiplantae; Streptophyta; Magnoliopsida; Lamiales; Lamiaceae
Exons: 3
Source: RefSeq, a predicted model, not a curated record
AGGAGCUGAUCGCAUUAGGAGAAGUUGUUGGAACAGAGAGCAGGGGUCUUUCUGCAGAUUCAAUAGCUUCUUUGGCUUCCGUCAACUAUAAAUCACAAGACACUAAGGAAGGGAUCAGUGAUUCCUGCGUCAUAUGUAGAUUGGACUAUGAGGAUGGCGAUGCUUUGACUGCUCUCUCUUGCAAACAUUUAUAUCACCCAGAAUGUAUCAACAAUUGGUUACAAAUCAACAAGGUUUGCCCCGUGUGCAGCACCGAAGUAUCAAACUCUUUGGGGAAAAGCUAGUAGACUCCAUUAUCUAAAUUCUUAUACGGUGUGGAGGAGGAGGAGGAGCAAAUAAAUGGGAUGCAUUCAAGCUUGCUUUGUUAUGCAAGCUUGUGUCUUUUCACAAAUUUCUUGGCAAUAUUAUGUUAGCUUCUCUAGUUCAUGAAUUCUUUGA